Molecule: long non-coding RNA, 570 nt
Filed under: Salmo salar (Atlantic salmon)
Lineage: Eukaryota; Metazoa; Chordata; Actinopteri; Salmoniformes; Salmonidae
Description: lncRNA (ENSSSAG00000106710.1)
Source: RNAcentral
GGUCAGACAGGUAGACAGGUCAGAUAGGUCAGAUAGGUCAGACAGGUCAGACAGGUAGACAGGUCAGACAGGUCAGAUAGGUCAGACAGGUCAGACAGGUCAGACAGGUAGACAGGUCAGACAGGUCAGAUAGGUAGACAGGUCAGAUAGGUAGACAGGUCAGACAGGUCCGACUAAGGUCACAAGCUGUGAGAGUGUGAGGUUAACAUGGUUUCAUCAAACUCAGUCCAAAUAAAAACUAACAUUUCACAUGCUACACUCACUGUUUUUACAUAAACAUAGAAAUGCUACAAAAUAUUCACAAACUCACAACCCACACACACACACACACACACACACACACACACACACACACACACACACACACACACACACACACGUACACACACACUGUAACGUAGAGAACAGAACACACAAUGUGGGACUAAUUAGGGACGUUGUAUUGACGUGAGGGACAGACAGACAGCUAGUCUCCUGCCUGAUGUGAUGAUGUGAGGGACAGACAGACAGACAGACAGACAGACAGACAGACAGACAGACAGACAGACAGACAGACAGACAGACAGACAG